Molecule: signal recognition particle RNA, 94 nt
Filed under: Hymenobacteraceae bacterium
Lineage: Bacteria; Pseudomonadati; Bacteroidota; Cytophagia; Cytophagales; Hymenobacteraceae
Description: signal recognition particle sRNA small type
Rfam family: Bacteroidales small SRP
About the family: The non-coding component of the signal recognition particle in Bacteroides
Source: RNAcentral
GGCAAGCCGGCACGACCAGCUCCCGCUGAACUCCCCCAGGGCCGGAAGGCAGCAAGGGUAGGCGGUUGAGCGGUGCGAUGUUCGGCUUGCUUUU